GCCUUAAAAGCUAAAACAGAAGCGUUGGUCUUGUAAUCCAAAAAUUGAAAUCCCUUUCUUAAGGCU
Molecule: transfer RNA, 66 nt
Filed under: Euthalenessa festiva
Lineage: Eukaryota; Metazoa; Annelida; Polychaeta; Phyllodocida; Sigalionidae
Description: tRNA-Thr
Rfam family: tRNA
About the family: Transfer RNA (tRNA) molecules are approximately 80 nucleotides in length. Their secondary structure includes four short double-helical elements and three loops (D, anti-codon, and T loops). Further hydrogen bonds mediate the characteristic L-shaped molecular structure. tRNAs have two regions of fundamental functional importance: the anti-codon, which is responsible for specific mRNA codon recognition, and the 3' end, to which the tRNAs corresponding amino acid is attached (by aminoacyl-tRNA synthetases). tRNAs cope with the degeneracy of the genetic code in two manners: having more than one tRNA (with a specific anti-codon) for a particular amino acid; and 'wobble' base-pairing, i.e. permitting non-standard base-pairing at the 3rd anti-codon position.
Source: RNAcentral